CGCCAUGUCUAAUGACUGUACUUCCUCAUUUAGUCCAUACCACCCUGGAGACUUCGGGGAGGCUGGACAGAAAGGUGUCUUGAAAGCUUCAUUUGGGGAAAACGAACAAAGCCAAGAUCAACGCCUUGGAAAGAGGGGAGAAGAAAGAGACACCGCCCCUUUCCCACCUCCACUCUAGGCUCCAAGGUGCCCCUUGCUUGCCAGAGACAAAGACCAGGCCGUUUUGAACAGUUCUUUUCCGGACCUAAAAUUUGUACGGAGGCGUGUCUAGGGGAUUUUGUCAUCUCCCGUGACCUUGGCUGUAGCACAGGUGGUCACAUAGCGACAUAAACAGGACUGAAGGGAAGUGCGCCAGACGGAGCUGCCCUGCGGUGCCGGGAGCCCCUACCCUGUGGCCUCCUCUAGGCUUGGCUGCUGGAGGCAAAGGAAGCCUGCCCUGCUGAGAAACCGCAGCCCAGCGGCUCCUUAGGGCUUACACAGUUGCCAUUUCACACUCUCUGGCUCCUCAUGAGAAGGCUAUUUUGAAUCCCUGUUUUGUUUCUCCUGACUGACUCCUGGCAGCAGCCCCACCCCAGCCCCCAGCCCCGCCCCCCAGCCCGGGCUGAGUUUUCUGCGCUGGCUCAGUCUCCUUCCCAGUCAGCCUCUUUCUCACUCUCCCUAUUCCUUCCACAAGCUGUCUCUGAGCUACAGCACCCCGUGGCUUUCAGUGGCAAGGCUCCGAAUGCAAACACAUGAUAAAACUUUGAGUCGCUGUAAGUGUUCAUUAUUCCCAUUCGAUCAUCAUAUGCUUGUAUCAGCUUAACGCACUGUACCCCAUAACUAUGCAUAAUUACUAGUUCUCAGCAACCUCAAAAUGCAGUUUUUUUAAAAGCAAAAUUAAACUAGUGAAAUUAAUU
Molecule: long non-coding RNA, 896 nt
Organism: Rattus norvegicus (Norway rat)
Lineage: Eukaryota; Metazoa; Chordata; Mammalia; Rodentia; Muridae
Source: RefSeq, a predicted model, not a curated record